CAUGGAGGGUGAGAAUCCCGUUCAUGGUUAAUCUUAAGGAAGCUCUACGAUACGUUUUCCAAGAGUCGAGUUGUUUGGGAUUGCAGCUCAAAAUGGGAGGUAAAUUUCUCCUAAGGCUAAAUAUUGGCGAGAGACCGAUAGCGAACAAGUACCGUGAGGGAAAGAUGAAAAGAACUUUGAAAAGAGAGUUAAACAGUACGUGAAAUUGUUGAAAGGGAAACGAUUGAAGUCAGUCAUACCAACGGGAAAUCAACCUUUUGAGCUCGGUCUCGUGGGUUUUGAAGAGUUUCAAAGCCUUCGGAUUCGCGAGUUUGGGAUCUCUUGGUGUACUUUUUCGUACGGUUAGUCAACAUCGGUUUUUGAAUGUCAUAAAAUGACUGGAGGAAUGUAGCUUUGAUCUCGUAUUAAAGUGUUAUAGCCUUUGGUAGAUGUGAUGUUUGAGACCGAGGAUUGCAACGGAUACCCUUUAGGGCUAUUCGUCUGAUCUCUGAUACGUUGCCUUGAUGUUGAAAGCUUGCUUAUGAUGUUAGGGUAUUACGGUCAAAAGGUUAGAACGAAUUACAUUCGUUAAGGAUGUUGACGUA
RNAcentral lists this ribosomal RNA (584 nucleotides) under uncultured Glomus. RNAcentral describes it as "eukaryotic LSU rRNA". It matches the Rfam family "Eukaryotic large subunit ribosomal RNA", at positions 204 to 633 of the family's 3401-position model. Lineage: Eukaryota; Fungi; Glomeromycota; Glomeromycetes; Glomerales; Glomeraceae. The record is from RNAcentral.